UAGUGAUCUAGUGAAUGGUCUGGUGUCGUUGAUGAACAGUAACAUCAGCAGCCCAGUCAACCUGGGGAACCCGGAAGAACACACCAUAUUGGAGUUUGCUGAGCUCAUCAGGAGUCUGGUCGUGAGCCGCAGUCAGAUCCAGUUCCUUCCAGAGGCGCAGGAUGACCCUCGGAGACGCGCCCCGA
Molecule: long non-coding RNA, 185 nt
Organism: Salvelinus sp. IW2-2015
Lineage: Eukaryota; Metazoa; Chordata; Actinopteri; Salmoniformes; Salmonidae
Source: RefSeq, a predicted model, not a curated record